RNAcentral lists this ribosomal RNA (689 nucleotides) under Streptomyces sp. Its description in RNAcentral is "bacterial SSU rRNA". It matches the Rfam family "Bacterial small subunit ribosomal RNA", at positions 65 to 769 of the family's 1533-position model. Lineage: Bacteria; Bacillati; Actinomycetota; Actinomycetes; Kitasatosporales; Streptomycetaceae. The record is from RNAcentral.
GACGAUGAAGCCGCUUCGGUGGUGGAUUAGUGGCGAACGGGUGAGUAACACGUGGGCAAUCUGCCCUGCACUCUGGGACAAGCCCUGGAAACGGGGUCUAAUACCGGAUAUGACUACCGAUCGCAUGGUUGGUGGUGGAAAGCUCCGGCGGUGCAGGAUGAGCCCGCGGCCUAUCAGCUUGUUGGUGGGGUGAUGGCCUACCAAGGCGACGACGGGUAGCCGGCCUGAGAGGGCGACCGGCCACACUGGGACUGAGACACGGCCCAGACUCCUACGGGAGGCAGCAGUGGGGAAUAUUGCACAAUGGGCGAAAGCCUGAUGCAGCGACGCCGCGUGAGGGAUGACGGCCUUCGGGUUGUAAACCUCUUUCAGCAGGGAAGAAGCGAGAGUGACGGUACCUGCAGAAGAAGCGCCGGCUAACUACGUGCCAGCAGCCGCGGUAAUACGUAGGGCGCGAGCGUUGUCCGGAAUUAUUGGGCGUAAAGAGCUCGUAGGCGGCUUGUCACGUCGGAUGUGAAAGCCCGGGGCUUAACCCCGGGUCUGCAUUCGAUACGGGCAGGCUAGAGUUCGGUAGGGGAGAUCGGAAUUCCUGGUGUAGCGGUGAAAUGCGCAGAUAUCAGGAGGAACACCGGUGGCGAAGGCGGAUCUCUGGGCCGAUACUGACGCUGAGGAGCGAAAGCGUGGGGAGC